UUCACAGAGCAGAUGUUCCCGUUUGCUCCCUUGGCCCUCCGUGGCUGAAGCCUCUCCUCUGCCCCAGAGAGCACAUUGUGUCGCUGCUGUGUGUUGGAUCAGGAGCGUAGGAACAGGAAGCAGAGAAUCCCACACUGACAACAGCUUGGCAGGCGAGCUCCUGGGCUGACCCGCAGUGGGGAGGGAACCGGCUACAAUCUCCCAGCAAGUCACCAGGGGCAACGCCCUGGCUGGGACCCAAGUCUCAUGACUUUCAUUCUGGGACCUUUGCCUGCCGUCUUCAACGGAGACCGUAUCAUUCCUGCCUUAUCCCACUCAACUAUCUCUCUAUCCAUUUAUGGAGGUUUUGUAACUCGAAGAACCUAGAUGAGGGAGGAAAAUGAAGAUAUGAAGGGUCAAGAGUUGAGUAAUUUUUGUGGUUGGCAGCCUGGAUCAGUGAGCUGAGUCGAUUGCAGUCAUUCGGGCAGGGAAAGCAGAUCGGACCCUGGCAGCUGAGCAAGGAUUCGGUUCUUUCUGUCUUCAGUGUGUCAGAAUUUCCAGAAUGCAGAGAAAUCAUCUUCCUCUUGAGUCCCCAAGUUAUCUUUUCAGGGGUGGGGGCUUGAGAAAGGAGAAGGGGGAAAGAGAUAGAAGUGGGAGGUAGGGAGGCAGGGACAGGAUUAUUCCAGUUUUGUAUCUGCUAUCUGCUUGCCUCUGCCAAGGCUUCUCACCUAACGCAAACGUGGAGGAUUCUAGGCUGUGCCACACCGGUGAGGCUGUUUUCUGCGUCUGACAGCAGCUUGCCAGAGGAAGUCGACUCCAAACAGGUUUCAAGCUGACAAUCCAAGGCCCCUCACGGGAUCGCCUUGGCAGUUAUUUAGUCCAAGGUACACAGAGCAAGUUUGCUACGUCUGGGUCACUCCGAUAAAUUCUUGAAAACAGGGACCUCAGACACCCAGGAGGGAACAUCAAAGAUCUCCAAGGGCUGGAGCCCAGAGCUGGCAGCUGGCCCGUGUCCUCACUUCACUCCCUCCCUGGGGCUGCAGCAGAAGGAAGCGCAGAGGCGGGUGCUCCUUCCCCUUCUCCGGGCCAUGUGCUCAGCUAUGGCUCCACAAACUCAGGGCUGCUUGACUUGGGAGCAAUUGCAGAAGAACAGUCAGUCCAGCCCUACGCCGUGGUAGCCAGAGAAUGUCAUCACCAACCAGACUACGCCACAGGCUCGGAGGAGGGAGAGCAGGAGAAAGGACCGGCUGGGGUAGGGACUUCUCCAGAAGAUCACCUGGGAACUGGAAGUAGGAUGUAACCAGGAAGCUGCCUUUCUAACAGGCUCAGUCUAUCACUUGGAACAGCACAGGCUGCACACACGAUUCCCUGUGGCUUCUCCAGUUCUGCUAGCCGUGUAACAUUCAGGAGACACCAUGGUGGGAGCUCAGGAGGACCCCGUCCUGGCCCCACCCCGGGCAGCUGUGCCGUGGAACCUGGGCUCUCCACAUCCCUGAUGCCCUGCUGAGCUCCGGGAGGGGCCAACCCAACAAGCUCAGAGCUUCAGAGGAUUCAGUCCAUGGCUGCUUGACUCUUCUAUAUUGGGCCAGUGGUGGCCUAGACCAUCAUGGUAGAAGCAGGUGUCAGUAGAAGAAGCCUAUUCACCUCAUGGCACUUGGGAAACAAAGAGACUGCAAAAGAAGGUGUUGGGGUCCCAACAUCCCUUUCAAGGACAACCCCUCAAUGGCCUAACUUCUGUCUGCUGCAUGAUAACCAACUGUUCUGCCUGCUCACUAGGCCCACUGAGCUAGAGGUUCUGCUGCCUGCACCUCCCCAGAGGUUUCAACACCUGAGCCCUAAGGGAACAUUUAACUGAGGAUUUAACCACAGUACCUGUGGACUUAGUGUGAGCUACCUGCAGUCCCAACUGAUGGCUGUCUGAUCAAGGUUGAAUAUUUUAAGAGUCUGAUUUCUCUGCCUUUACCCUGCCUAGUUUAUUAGACCAAUGAAGGGGGAAAUACGUCUAUAUCUAUAUCUAUAUAUCUCACAUAUAUCAUCAGUCUUUGUAGACACUUGCACAGCUCCUAGGGCAGCAUCUUCUGUAUAGAAAGCCCCACUACAUACUUGUGAAAUGUUUAGUA
Fukomys damarensis (Damara mole-rat) is the source of this 2099-nucleotide long non-coding RNA. RefSeq lists it as uncharacterized. The record is from RefSeq and is a predicted model, not a curated record. The transcript is spliced from 4 exons. NCBI's taxonomy places the organism in Eukaryota, Metazoa, Chordata, Mammalia, Rodentia, Bathyergidae.